Molecule: ribosomal RNA, 461 nt
Filed under: uncultured organism
Description: bacterial SSU rRNA
Rfam family: Bacterial small subunit ribosomal RNA
Source: RNAcentral
GAUGAACGCUGGCGGCGUGCUUAACACAUGCAAGUCGAACGUGAGAGGGUAGCAAUAUCCUUGAAAGUGGCGCACGGGUGAGUAAUACGUAGGUAACCUGCCCUGGAGUGGGGGAUAACGGCUGGAAACGGCUGCUAAUACCGCAUAAUACUGGAGAGAUGGGAGUCUUUCUGGUAAAAACUCUGGUGCUUCAGGAGGGGCCUGCGGCCGAUUAGCUAGUUGGGGGGGUAAAGGCCCACCAAGGCAUUGAUCGGUAGCUGGUCUGAGAGGACGAUCAGCCACACGGGAACUGAGACACGGUCCCGACUCCUACGGGGGGCAGCAGUGAGGAAUAUUGGGCAAUGGGCGGAAGCCUGACCCAGCAACGCCGCGUGGAGGAAGACGGCCUUCGGGUUGUAAACUCCUUUUACGGGGGAAGAGGAAGGACGGUACCCCGAGAAUAAGUCACGGCUAACUACGUG